AAUCAACGCUGGCGGCGUGCCUCAGACAUGCAAGUCGAACGCGAAAGUUCCCUUCGGGGGAUGAGUAGAGUGGCGCACGGGUGAGUAACACGUAGGUAAUCUACCUUCGGAUGGGGAAUAACAACCGGAAACGGUUGCUAAUACCGCAUAAUGCAGCGGCACCUAAUGGUGACAGUUGUUAAAGCGGGGGAUCGAAAGACCUCGCGUCUGAAGAGGAGCCUGCGGCGGAUUAGCAGUUGGUAGGGUAACGGCCUACCAAGGCUACGAUCCGUAGCCGGCCUGAGAGGGCGGUCGGCUACACUGACACUGACAUACGGGUCAGACUCCUACGGGAGGCAGCAGUCGGGAAUUUUGGGCAAUGGGCGAAAGCCUGACCCAGCAACGCCGCGUGAAGGAUGAAAUCCCUCGGGAUGUAAACUUCGC
Molecule: ribosomal RNA, 423 nt
Filed under: uncultured bacterium
Lineage: Bacteria
Description: bacterial SSU rRNA
Rfam family: Bacterial small subunit ribosomal RNA
Source: RNAcentral